UCAUUUUACUAAUUUAUAACAUACCUUCCCAUGACGAGCUGAUCAUAGUUCAUGCAUUGUUCACAACCGAAGACCAUGGAAGCCACCACUCUCCGUCACUCACUUCCCUUCUCCUUCACUUAUCAUUCACACCUAACUUCCAAAUUACUACCACAAAAACCUUUCCUUUCUUCCAAUUUCCCCUCUUUCUUCCUCCCAGGUCCUCCGAUUUCCAUCACCGACGCCACCAACCACCACCACAGCUGUCAUCAAAAUCACCAUCACGGAGGCCAUAAUUCGCAACUGACUGGACCCCAAAGAGCUCUUUAAAAUUUGCAAAAACAAUAGGAUGGAUGGACUUGGCGAAUUUGUUUAGAGAAAACUUGCAGCUCUGCUGUCGUUCCGCCUCUCUCUCUUUAUCACUGCCUCUGCCUGCUCUUGUAUGAUUCCGAAACCUGCAGUCAAGCCCCCUCAAAAUGCGUUCAUGCUAGUUGCCUUCUCUCUUGUUGGCUGAAGAGUUCUUUACCAAUCGGUCAGUGAUUGAUGAUGUUAAAGAGUUGAAGGAAAAUUAUCCGGAUUCUGCGCUUGUGUUGGAUGUAAAUGAUGACAAGCUGCCGGAUGUUUCUCAUUUGUCGUAUAAAAAAGUGUACCUGUGCAUGAUAUAGAAGUGGGAUCCUAUAUUUUGGUCGGAGUUGGUGUGGUCUUUUUGAAGUUAUUUAACUUUCUCUUUGCUCAAUAUUUUAAUUUAGUUUUGAUAUUGGUAAUGUCAUGAAAUCUCGGCUGAAAGCACAGCAUAUUAUGGCCUGUUAUUGGAUGUCAAUAUGUGAUUUAAAGCUUUUAAAGGCUUCAUGGCAUUUCAAGAUUGCAUAUACCCUUCAACUCAAGUGUUCAUGAGUUUAGGCUGUAUUAGGACGAGUCUCUAUGUUAGUUAUAAUAUCAAUGUCAACAAACAUCAGAAGGUUUCCUCCUUACCUGAAAGUUCUGUUUCUAAAUUCAUUGUCUAGGUAGGCCAGAACUUUUUUUGCUUAAGCCUUUGUAGUCAUCUAAAAAAUAAGUUCAAUGUUCAGGGGCAGUUAGUGGUUAUAGCCACAUUUCAAUGGUUAGCUAGCUAACUAUCCAGUGGAAGUUUUAGCAUUAUGAGUUGUAACAAGCUAAUACUCUGACUAAUAUGACAUUCCAUUUUAGUUAUGAGAUGGCUAUAUUCAUUUUGUUUAUCUUGAUUUAUCAAGUAAUGCUUGUUAUGGAAGUUUUAUCCAGUAAGCGAAAGCUUCAAAGGUGUCUGGAUGAAUUUGGUGAGCAUUACAGCAAAUUGGUUGUAGGUUUGGCAGUUGCCAUCGCUCUACUCGAACCAUUUCUUUUCGAGUGGCCAUUCAUGAUCACACCAGGAGGGGGUCUGGUCAUGGUCGGAAGGUAUUAAUUAUGCACCAGCUCUUGCUGCUGCAACUGUCGGGAUUGUGCUUGCUCAACAGGCCACUGCAACUGCCAUAGCUGUUGCUUGUGUCCUUACUGCUAAGGGAUGCCAUACCUGGUGUUACAUCCUGUAUUUUAUCAAGUCUCGCCAAAGAACUUCCCUGUUCGAGCAAAAUGCAGCCCCCGCAUUAACCUCUAUAUUUCUGGCCUUCCUUCCAUCCAUUUUGAAUUUCCUUCCUCUCUGGUCAACGGACGGUGCAGCUAAAGCUAUCUCCAUUUGUUGCUCAAGUUUCUGUUCAUUUUUGCAGUUUUGAGAUAGCUUCACUUUCUAGCUCGUAGUUUAAUACUAUUUAUCAAAAGAAACAGAAAAGUUCGUUUAUUGCUUAUUUUCAUUAG
Populus nigra (black poplar) is the source of this 1785-nucleotide long non-coding RNA. RefSeq lists it as uncharacterized. The record is from RefSeq and is a predicted model, not a curated record. The transcript has 5 exons. Lineage: Eukaryota; Viridiplantae; Streptophyta; Magnoliopsida; Malpighiales; Salicaceae.